UACGGAGGGUGCAAGCGUUAUCCGGAUUCACUGGGUUUAAAGGGUGCGUAGGUGGACUGGUAAGUCAGUGGUGAAAUCUCCAAGCUUAACUUGGAAACUGCCGUUGAUACUAUCAUUCUUGAAUAUCGUGGAGGUAAGCGGAAUAUGUCAUGUAGCGGUGAAAUGCGUAGAUAUGACAUAGAACACCGAUUGCGAAGGCAGCUUGCUACACGAUCAUUGACACUGAGGCACGAAAGCGUGGGGAGCAAACAGG
This 253-nucleotide ribosomal RNA is filed under the name uncultured bacterium. RNAcentral's name for it is "partial 16S ribosomal RNA". It matches the Rfam family "Bacterial small subunit ribosomal RNA", at positions 524 to 776 of the family's 1533-position model. The record is from RNAcentral.